This 492-nucleotide ribosomal RNA is filed under the name uncultured bacterium. Its description in RNAcentral is "partial 16S ribosomal RNA". It matches the Rfam family "Bacterial small subunit ribosomal RNA", at positions 29 to 507 of the family's 1533-position model. The record is from RNAcentral.
AGUGAACGCUGGCGGUAGGCCUAACACAUGCAAGUCGAACGGCAGCACAGUAAGAGCUUGCGCUUACGGUUGGCGAGUGGCGGACGGGUGAGGAAUACAUCGGAAUCUACUUUUUCGCGGGGGCUAACGUAGGGAAACUUACGCUAAUACCGCAUACGACCUACGGGUGAAAGCAGGGCAUCUUCGGACCUUGCGCGAUUGAAUGAGCCGAUGUCGGAUUAGCUAGUUGGCAGGGUAAAGGCCCACCAAGGCGACGAUCCGUAGCUGGUCUGAGAGGAUGAUCGGCCACACUGGAACUGAGACACGGUCCAGACUCCUACGGGAGGCAGCAGUGGGGAAUAUUGGACAAUGGGCGCAAGCCUGAUCCAGCCAUACCGCGUGGGUGAAGAAGGCCUUCGGGUUGUAAAGCCCUUUUGUUGGGAAAGAAAAGCAGCAGGUUAAAACCCCGCUGUUCUGACGGUACCCAAAGAAUAAGCACCGGCUAACUUCGUG